ACGGAAGGCAGCAGUGGGGGAUAUUGCACAAUGGGGGAAACCCUGAUGCAGCAACGCCGCGUGAGGGAAGAAGGUUUUCGGAUUGUAAACCUCUGUCCCCGGGGAAGAUAAUGACGGUACCCGGGGAGGAAGCUCCGGCUAACUACGUGCCAGCAGCCGCGGUAAUACGUAGGGAGCGAGCGUUGUCCGGAAUUACUGGGUGUAAAGGGUGCGUAGGCGGCUGUGCAAGUCAGGCGUGAAAUGCAGGGGCUUAACCCCUGAGCUGCGUUUGAAACUGCACGGCUUGAGUGAAGUAGAGGUAGGCGGAAUUCCCGGUGUAGCGGUGAAAUGCGUAGAGAUCGGGAGGAACACCAGUGGCGAAGGCGGCCUACUGGGCUUUAACUGACGCUGAGGCACGAAAGCAUGGGUAGCAAACAGGAUUAGAUACCCUGGUA
This 434-nucleotide ribosomal RNA is filed under the name uncultured Oscillospiraceae bacterium. RNAcentral describes it as "bacterial SSU rRNA". It matches the Rfam family "Bacterial small subunit ribosomal RNA", at positions 341 to 792 of the family's 1533-position model. Lineage: Bacteria; Bacillati; Bacillota; Clostridia; Eubacteriales; Oscillospiraceae. The record is from RNAcentral.